RNAcentral lists this transfer RNA (74 nucleotides) under Bacteroidota bacterium. RNAcentral describes it as "Bacteroidetes bacterium tRNA-His". It matches the Rfam family "tRNA". Rfam says of the family: Transfer RNA (tRNA) molecules are approximately 80 nucleotides in length. RNAcentral also lists the same sequence under 1 other name. Lineage: Bacteria; Pseudomonadati; Bacteroidota. The record is from RNAcentral.
GCGGUUGUAGCUCAGUUGGUUAGAGCGCAGGUUUGUGGUUCCUGAGGUCGUGGGUUCGAUCCCCACCAAUCGCC